GGCAUGAAUGUAUUGAAAUACUUAAACAAUUAAAGCUUACAGCCAUGGCUGAAAACUUUGAUGACGUGGUUAUUGAUGGUAUACGCCGUAAGCGUUCUACG
RNAcentral lists this ribosomal RNA (101 nucleotides) under Yersinia enterocolitica (type O:9) str. YE212/02. RNAcentral describes it as "partial ribosomal RNA". Lineage: Bacteria; Pseudomonadati; Pseudomonadota; Gammaproteobacteria; Enterobacterales; Yersiniaceae. The record is from RNAcentral.